UGCAGUCGAACGGUAACAGGAUGUGCUUGCACAUCGCUGACGAGUGGCGGACGGGUGAGUAAUGCUUGGGAACUUGCCUUUGCGAGGGGGAUAACAGUUGGAAACGACUGCUAAUACCGCAUAAUGUCUUCGGACCAAACGGGGCUUCGGCUCCGGCGCAAAGAGAGGCCCAAGUGAGAUUAGCUAGUUGGUAAGGUAAUGGCUUACCAAGGCGACGAUCUCUAGCUGUUCUGAGAGGAAGAUCAGCCACACUGGGACUGAGACACGGACCAGACUCCUACGGGAGGCAGCAGUGAGGAAUAUUGCGCAAUGGAGGAAACUCUGACGCAGCCAUGCCGCGUGCAGGAAUAAGGCCCUAUGGGUUGUAAACUGCUUUUAUACGGGAAGAACUACAUCUACGUGUAGGUGUUUGACGGUACCGUACGAAUAAGGAUCGGCUAACUCCGUGCCAGCAGCCGCGGUAAUACGGAGGAUCCAAGCGUUAUCCGGAUUUAUUGGGUUUAAAGGGUCCGCAGGCGGAAAAUUAAGUCAGUGGUGAAAUCCUACAGCUUAACUGUAGAACUGCCAUAGAUACUGAUUUUCUUGAGUGCACCUGAAGUGGGCGGAAUGUGUCAUGUAGCGGUGAAAUGCUUAGAUAUGACACAGAACACCAAUUGCGAAGGCAGCUCACUAAAGUGUAACUGACGCUGAGGGACGAAAGCAUGGGUAGCGAA
RNAcentral lists this ribosomal RNA (713 nucleotides) under uncultured Bacteroidota bacterium. Its description in RNAcentral is "bacterial SSU rRNA". It matches the Rfam family "Bacterial small subunit ribosomal RNA", at positions 56 to 772 of the family's 1533-position model. The record is from RNAcentral. Lineage: Bacteria; Pseudomonadati; Bacteroidota.